RNAcentral lists this long non-coding RNA (4612 nucleotides) under Taeniopygia guttata (zebra finch). RNAcentral describes it as "lncRNA (ENSTGUG00000028177.1)". The record is from RNAcentral. Lineage: Eukaryota; Metazoa; Chordata; Aves; Passeriformes; Estrildidae.
CAGGGAAACAAGGCAAGCCCCAUGGCCCCAGCCAGGGUGUUGCUGGAAUUGAAUUUUUGACUCUGGGAGGGCUGGAAAAACAUUAUAAAGAAAUUAACUGAGUGUGUUUGCAAAAGUCAAAACAUGAGAGUUGCCCAGGGUAGGGUUCAGGAUGUACCCAGUUCCUGUGAGGUGUCACACUCAUGGGUUAAGGCUUCAGGAUUCCUGUUGCUGCAGUGUCUCCAAAAGUGUUCCCCAUUAUUGCUCCAGUGCUUUGAUCCAGUGUCCUGACAAAUAGCUGCCAUGGAAAAAAAAAAAAAGUCAUCCUGGCUGAAUUUCUGUCUUGGACUGAGGGAUGCCCAGCCCUGCCAGGGAGAGGCUCAAGAUCUAACACCUCGUGUUUUUUGAACUGUAAAAGCUACAGUUUUCCUCUGCUACAAAAAAAAAAAGGAACUAUUCAGAGGAAAAGAGAAAUCAAUUUUGUGUCUGAGGGGUGUUCAAACCCAAGGUUAAAGUGAGAUUAGCACAGCUCUGAACACUGCUUUAGAGGCUUGGGGACUUUGUUGGGACCCUGAGGAGCCAGGCUUUGCAGCAGGGUAUUUCCAACCCAGCCUCAGCAACGUAUUUCCAGGUUCUGUUGAAUUCUAGAAAUUAUUUUGCUGUAAGAUGUGUCUGGGAGUGCAAGCUGUAUGGGGGAGGCUGGUGGCACUUGAGGGGCCUUGCUAGGUGUGACUUCUCUUGCUGCCAGCAGGCCAGGGCCAUGCCAGCUGUGACUCAGUGCCCACCCCUAGGGAGUCAGUCGGAGCACGUGGCUGCAGACAAAAUCUUCUUUCUCCCACGGCUGCUUGGCAGUGCCUGGUUUUUGCUGUGCACGUGGCUGUGUACAAACAGGGUGUCUUACCAGGGUAGGUUGGAGCAGUGUUGGGGGUUAAACCCCUCCAAAAAUGCACAGGCUGAACCCCUGGCAGGAGUGUGGUGUGUCUGCAAUGCUGCCUCCAUCUCUCAGAGAAUAAAAUGUCUGCCACGUCCAUCCCAGGAGCUCUUUGGGGACAGGAUGUGUGUGGCUUGCAGAGGUGACGCUCAGCUCAGAGCUUGUCAUCUGCAGAGGUUGUGGUGUAGAAAAAGACCAUAUAUGUCCUGUUCCUAGGCUUUUUCUGGUGGGGAGACUGAAAUGCUGUGUCACCUGUGUGGGCAGCAUGGCUGGGCAGCCUCUGGAGAGAACACUGGCAAUGGUGUCACACCUCUGUGCAGCUGGUGGCCCAGGGUCUGCAUUCCAGAGCCCUUCCCUUUGCAAAUGGAGGGCAAAACUGCCUUUGCUGGGCUACAGGAACCCAUCCUGUUCCCACACCUCACCUUGGUGCCAGGUACAAUGCAAUCUCUGAACGUGGACGCCUUGCCCAGCCUGGAGAGAGGGGAUGUGGCUUGGUGGCACUGGGAGUGAGAAGGGGGGUCCUGGCCAUACUCUGGGGGCUGUGGGGGUGGCAGGUACAGAUUUUUGGUCACUGCCAGCACCAGCUGCAUGAGUGAGGAGCAUGCUGGGGUUCAGAGCAGCUGCAGGAAUUGCUGCAGCCAUGGAGCAGAGGCUUGGCUGGCAGAUCUCCCCCCGUGGCAGCGAUUUGAGGCUGCUGCCACUGCUAAACUACUUCCAGCAUCUGACACCCUCCAUAACAAGAUUCAAAGGGCUUGUUUGAGAGGGGAAUGUUUAAUCCAGGGAUGGGGGGAGGGAUAUGGGGAGAAACAAACAACAGAUUGGAAAAAGGAUUCAUAAAUAUCUCAUCAGAGUGAAGUGGGUCACCAGUGUUUGCUGUGACUUGGUGCUGCUGACUCUGAGGGCUGGAUUUGGGAGGGCUGGGAAGCACAGCAGGCUCCUGUACAGUCUGUCCCUGGUUGUGCAGCACCGAGGCCGUUCAGCAGCGUCUGUGACAAGUGACUCUGCUGGCGUGGGGUUUGCGUUGUGUUGUGUCACGUUUGCCGUGCGUUGCGUCAGGAGCUGGGGGCUGAAAUAGACUGGAAGGGAGCUAAAAAUCCUCCUUGGGGAGCUGCUCCUGGCAGCUGAGAGAACACAAGCUCCUUAUGUAAAGCUGCUUUAAUAUUUAUGGUAAUAUCAGAGGCGGUGCAUUACCUCAUCCAUCUUCGCUGCCCUUCUUGGGCAUGGGGAAAGGCUUAGUCACUACUCUGCUGACCUUCUCCUGGGUGCUUGCUUGGCAUCUACCUGCUUUUGAUGCAUUUAUUCCUCCAGCAGCUUGGAAAAAUGGAGAAAUGCUGCUUUUCCUCAUUGGGAAUGGGGAGCUGAAGUACCGGGAGUGCUGCUCAGUUGCAGGAGGGGACUGGACACAAAUCCCUCCAGGCCUGACAGACCACUCCGUUUGUGACAGAGGGGACAGGUACAGACCCCAAAGGACAGUCCCAAAGGACAGGGUGGUUCAAGCUGCAUUCCUUAGGGAUUAGAGGUGGAGGAGAGUGGGAUGGUGAGAGUGCUGGGAAAUGAGCUCCCUCUGCUGCACCAGAGCCACCUUUGGUGCCUGCUGGUGUUUCCUUAGGGUGAGCAAGGGUCUGUCUGUCCUGUGCAUGAGGGGAUGAGUGCCUUUCUUCCAGACAGGCAGGAGUGACAAAGAAGGGAAGAGGAGAUUAGGGGAUGAGGGGGAGGAUUUGAAGAUAAAGUGUUUCAUGUCGUCUCUGGCUUUUUCUGCACAGCAUUGCUUCUGGUCAGAUAUGGUCAGUAGCUAUUUCCAAGAUGGAUGUUUCCAACUGGAGGACACUUGGAGUCUAGGGAUGGACCUUUGUUUCAGGAUAAAUCAUGAUACAUAACCCCACUGUGUUGUUAAAUCCUUCCUUGCUGCCAGUUUCAGUGUAGCAGCCAAGGACCUGAUGGAAAUGCCUUGCUUUUCAUGGCAGAGGGAAAAGCCCCAUGGAUGAGCUUCCCACUGCACCCCCGACCCACACCCUGGAGCAGCUCCUCCAUCGUGCAAAGUGACUGACUUUUCCUUCCAAAUGGAAGCAGUAGGGGAGGAUGAGAGGAUUUGGAGAUGGGAUGGGGCUGGUGUCUGCAGAGGGAAGGGGCCAUCCAGAUGGAGCUCUGUGCUGUGGCACGGCUUAGCAAUGACUCAUCGGUGCAGGAUUGAUGCAGCUUUCAUCUGUGCAAAGAGGAGACAGAUGAAUAGAUGUGUUUGGUGAUUUGCUGGGGUUUGAGGCAGGAAAAGUGCCCUUCAGUGAGCAAGAGAAGCUGUUCCUGUGCUGGCCUGUUGCUCCGGCGGAGGGCAGCUUGUUGCGCUGGGUGAAUCCGACUGCACUGACCUUGAGAGCAUCCCAGGGGAGCUGUGGCGUUUGUGUGCCAAUCUUUGCAGCAGCAGCAGCAAUUUGGAAAGCUUUCCUUCUCCUCCUUUGUCAUCCCUGGUUUUAUUAUGCCAGCUCCCUUUUCCCAGCCUGGGAAAGAGCUGGUUAGUUGCUGGCAAUGAGAACCUUCCAGAAAGGGCACUGAUUGUUAAACAGAAAUAGCAUGGAGCAGGGAAAAGGGAGAGAAUGAAGCCUGUCUCCCACAAAAUCUUAUUCCCAAAUGCUGCUGCCUGUGUAGGAGGCAGAGAGGGAGCUGGAAGGGGGAGGAAUGGGUAGACAGGCAGAGACAGCAGCUGACAAGAGGAAAGGGAGGAAUAAAAAGAUGUGAGGAGCUAUAAAGAAGAAAGCAAAGGUAGGAAAAUGUGUCACUAGAGAAAAACUUGGUGUGAUGGAAUGAGGGAAGAGGAGGAGACAAAGGAAUGGAGGGAACCCUUAUAUGCAGGCUUAAUAAUUUGAAGUAAGGAAAGCACCUCUUUCUUCAGUCUGGAGGAGAUGGAGGUGCUUAAAGAUGAGCCCAUGGCCAUACCCUUGGAAGUACAGGAUGGAGAGGAGAGAUGAUUCCCAAGGUAGGGAGCUAAGAGCACACAGAAGUGAGCUAAGCACUGGGAUGGAAAAAGAUGUGCUGCUAAGGGUACCCAGGAGCCAGAGGAGGAGCCAGGCCAGAGGGUCUGGAGAGGUGCUGGGUGAUCCUGUGGCUUCUUGCAGUGAUGGAAAACCAGAGACAAAAGCUCUUUUGUGUGGGCACUUAAGAACUGCCGAUAUUGAUUUUUGGCUUAGUUUGGUUUCUACAUCUUUUAAAACCUUUUCUAAGCUGCAUGAUGGGUUUGUGUUGCUUUUAGUGGAAAUGCACUUAGAAUCAGGAAAUUUUGUUUGUGGCAAUGCAGGGCAUGGUGGCAGGACAAAGCUCCUGGCUCCAUGGCUCCAAGCAAAACCAGCUUUCAUGCCCCCAGGAAUCUGGAUCAGUGAGGUGGAUAAACCUUGAGGUGCCUGGGCUGUGCAGGGUCCCCAUUUCUCAGCAAAAAGUUGAGUUUGCCCUCUCUGAUUUACCUCAUGAUCUCCAUGAUUUUCCUAGGGAAGGAGCAGAAGUUUAAUGCUUGGUCCAUGUGCUGUAACCACACGAAUGUCAGUGUGUGAGUGGCCCAGUUAAUUGAUAUCAAAACAACAAAGAAGGUAAAUUAAUAUUUAUGCCAUGAUUAAUCUGACUCUCCCUGCUUUAACCUCUGAGCCCACUUCAGCUGUGGGCUCUGCUUACUAUUUCUUUAUGUCUCAUUGUACCAGAUUGAAAAAAAAAAAAAAAAAA